RNAcentral lists this transfer RNA (72 nucleotides) under Phycisphaerales bacterium. Its description in RNAcentral is "tRNA-Thr". It matches the Rfam family "tRNA". From Rfam's summary of the family: Transfer RNA (tRNA) molecules are approximately 80 nucleotides in length. Their secondary structure includes four short double-helical elements and three loops (D, anti-codon, and T loops). Further hydrogen bonds mediate the characteristic L-shaped molecular structure. tRNAs have two regions of fundamental functional importance: the anti-codon, which is responsible for specific mRNA codon recognition, and the 3' end, to which the tRNAs corresponding amino acid is attached (by aminoacyl-tRNA synthetases). tRNAs cope with the degeneracy of the genetic code in two manners: having more than one tRNA (with a specific anti-codon) for a particular amino acid; and 'wobble' base-pairing, i.e. permitting non-standard base-pairing at the 3rd anti-codon position. The record is from RNAcentral. Lineage: Bacteria; Pseudomonadati; Planctomycetota; Phycisphaerae; Phycisphaerales.
GCCGACGUAGCUCAAUGGUAGAGCACAGCUUUCGUAAAGCUGGGGUUGUCGGUUCGACUCCGACCGUCGGCU